UACUUGCGACAGCUGUACCUCUGUUGCCCGUGGUGACUGAGUUCGCAGCCGGUACCUCGUCCGCUGCCGGGCUCGCAGGAGGAAGAGGGCGAGGGCCCCCGCGUCCCGGUGUGUUUGGGCUACGAGGUCAAGUCGGCGGCGGAGCGUAUGGUGCCGGAGGCGGGGUGGGAGCAGCAGUGGGCCAUGCACGAGAGGUGGUGGAGCGUGGGACAGCGCGGCAAGGCGUACCGGCAUUAGAGCCUGCCGAAGCUACGACCACCGUACCGCGACACGGGGCUGAUGCGCCUCAUGAAGGGUGCUGACCUCCGGCAGCCCAGGCUCUGAGACGCCCUCGAGGAAGACAGGCUCCGCGCGCGACCCGCCGGUCACGCGCACGACCAAAUGCUGGGAGUAGAACGGACCCGCGACGCCCACCGCGCCCGCCGGCCGCACCGGUGGCGCCGGAAGAAGAGGGUCGGCACACGACACCUGUAGCACAUACCCCUCGAGACCCGCCCCGCCGACCGCGACGGCCACUGUCUGCCCGCUCGUGACGAGCGCUCUCUUCGUGACCCGCACCUCGAACCCGGCCUCCUGUACGGCGGUAAGCGCCGACACGGCCUCAACGUUGGCCACGAGUGGUUCUGCAGCUAACCCGUCAAGCUGCCAGACCUCCUGCGGCUGCUGCACGAGGAGUUGAGAAAGGCGCUGUAGCGCGGUUUCCUCCGGCUCAUGUACCUCAAUUGUACCUCUCGUUUCUACUAACCAGGUUGAUACGGUAGCAUGAAAGAACUACUAUUAGCGGAUGGUAGGUUGUUCAGAAUGCCAAAGUUGAACAAGUCACUACCACAUAGCACAUACCUAACCAAUCUGUUCGUAUCGUACAGGAGGCAACACGAACAUACGAUACCGUGGCAGAGAUUGAUGCUACGUUGGGACAACCUCCUCGAACCGUCACCUGAUACGUUAAGACCGUUUGGAAAAGAAGCCCAACAGUCUAGGUUGCUCCGUGUGUUCAAUAGCCUUCUUGAGUUCCUCUUUACACUCUUGUUACCUAAUUAACAACGUACCAAGGUGGUUGAAGUUCAAAACGUGUGUUCCGAUAGCCAUACCAUUGUGUGUGUGUGAUGUAAAGAAAAUGAGGAAAAUACCUGUUCUUGUAUUUUUACAAAAUGUUUCAUUUGUUUAUACUGUUGUGAAAUAUAGAUUUAAGUACUUGUAUGUACAACCAACAAAACAAUGGGUGACGCCUACCUUGAGCUGUAACCUCCGUCAACAAUCACCACAAGGAGAACACCCUUAGGGUGUAACCCGUCUGUUUGGGUGGUAGAGUUUCAUACAUCUUUGGUACACCCCGUACACACACUCACAUGCCUACCCACUAUUUCCUACGGAUUUCUACUACCUCCAGUUCUCGAGGUAUCUCUCCACUACCUGCCUCUAUCUUUCCUACUCAUGUUUUCUUUACGACGUUUCACCUACGUUUUACGGUUCCUACGUUACGUCCUUCCUCCUUCGAGUCUAUUCGUAUAACGACUGAAACGACGCUUCAUAUGAAGUUUAACUUAAGUCUGGUUACGUAAAAAGUGAAGUUCAAUACUUUCAUCCGUAAUUGAUGUUAAUAAAAUCUCUCUUACUAUAAAAUGUACACGUUCAUCUCACGAUAGAAGAGUGGUAAAUCUUCCUACAAGUUAAAAGAUCACAUGAUUGUUAUACACUUGUUAACAAAUGUUCAAUAUCUAAGUAAAAUUUAUUUAAUAUCCCUCAGAUAUUGUCAUAAAAGUAUCGUUGAAAGUGAAAUAAUCAGGUACCCAUAAGAAUCACAAGUGGGAUUUAAUUCAAUUCUUCUACUAAGAAACAAGCAGGAUUUAAAAGAAACCUAUGGAUAAAAAAUAACCACGUUAUAAUCCUUAAUACAUUCGAACUUAACUUCAACUUACGGAUUUAUACAUACUUUAUUUUUGGGUGUCAAGAAAAGCAACUAGUUUAUGUGGUUUUCUGUGUACUUUCUACAUACUAAUCCACCGUAAACCACUAGAAGGAUAAACCACCCCAUACUUCCGAGGUACCGUUCUGGUGUGUACGGGUACAACAGACGUAACAGGAAGAGGUAAGAUUUCAUGGGUAAGAGCGGGGUUCAACACGGGGUACUUAAGAAGCAGUUGGUUAUUGAACACGGUAGUGAUCAGAAAGGUAUAGGUUACCGGUGUUGAGGUACCAGGUUCAGUCAUGGCGUUCUCGGCCAUUAGUGGGGUGGUCUCAUCUUAACCUUACAGUACAGCGGAGGCCGGUGUCGAUUCCUAUGACCAACCAAACGGUGGCGAAAGUAUUCCCGUGGGAUCAAUAACCGUCCGUGUAGUAGUUUCACCAACUACCAACGCCGCGAUAACCUAGGUCGAACGUGAACGGUAGUCGACGUCAUUUGCCCAUCGACCUGAGGUAUCAUUCUGGAAGCAAGAACUAUUACUUUAACUUCCGUAGUAGGUACUCAGGAGGGAGCGUUGGAACUAGAAGAGCUACUUGUAGUGUCAGUUGGUUGAGAACGAGGCUAUCACUCGAAUUGCAAGGACUAAAGUUAAAAUGUUAUGGGGAGACACCGUCGUUGUCAUCUUUUACGGGUCGUUGUCGGAUUUUCAUUAACACAAGAAUAACACAAUGGGAUCUUUUAUAAUGGUAUAUAUUCGUUACGUAGUGUUACACAAUACUGAAUGGCGUGACCGGAACUAGGAACUAUCCCGGGAGCUCAGGUAGCAACGACCUUCCCGAAGUUUUGAGUUUAAGAGUAUGGACUUAGGACUUCUUUCUUGAGAGUACCUCAAACGAAACUUGGGGAACAAACACAACCAACAGGACUUGAGUAGCAACCACUAUAGUCGGUUAACCAACUGCGGCUCGGUACUGAACACUAAGACCCGUAACUUGUAAAGUUACUUAAGUUGCAACCGAUACUUUUGGAACUUGGCCGUGCGGAAGACUCACCGCAAGAACAUGUGCGCCGGCAUGACGCGGUAGGUAAAGAGUACGAAGUGGCCAUAGCUAUUCAGUAACAAAUCGUGUGUUCAACGUUACUGUCAAGGUGUAUCCGUCUACGUUGGGUCCUACCGUUCCUCGUUUCGGGACACCUACCGGUAGAAGUUAAUACGUGGUUUUACGUAAAGAAGAUCAUGGCACAUGACACAUGAAACGAAACCAAACCAAACAACUUACCUUGAAACACCAUAUAUAUCACCGUACAUGCACAAUCUUAUCCUACAUAUAUCUAUGGAACGAACAUACUUCAACAAACACCUUUUCCCGAACACGCAACGGCACCUCACACCACAGGCCGGUCUAGCGACGAACAAACAAAGACCUGAGAUGUAGAAUGCUCUUCGGGACUAAUUCUCUAAAUGAUUACUUUGUUGUUGGACGAACAAAUAAAGUCCUCAGAUGUAGACUUUUUCUCGUAUCUGCACUGCUGAUCAAACGUGUUUACUUCGUUUAUUGACACACGAGUCUAUUACUUAUCGGUCGGAGUAUUAUUAUAUGACAAGCUGUUCUUAACAGAAUCAAAGGGUUCUAGCCAAAGUGUCGGUACUUUAAAGGAAGGACAGUAGGACCGAGCGUAAAACGAGAAUCAGUCAUCCCUUCCCUCAUUUACCUGAAAACAUGAGCAAUCCCGAAAUAUAAAAAAAAGCGCUUAUGUGUCUCCGCAUAGUAAAGUAACCAUCCAUCUUUCUCACUUUUCCCAUGUUCCGGCGUCGCUAUACACAUGUUGUAUCCCGCAUCUACCCUGACACUCUCGUCUUCUGUUCUCCUACGAGUCGGGCAUUUCUCUUUUCUUUAGCGAGAGUGACGUAGUUCGAUAGAUCGGAAACCGAGGGCGAGCUCGGGUCAACACACGCUGAAGAAACUACCGAACUUGGUGGGAUCACCACCUC
This 3899-nucleotide ribosomal RNA is filed under the name Triticum aestivum (bread wheat). Its description in RNAcentral is "partial small subunit ribosomal RNA". Lineage: Eukaryota; Viridiplantae; Streptophyta; Magnoliopsida; Poales; Poaceae. The record is from RNAcentral.